UACGGAGGGUGCAAGCGUUAUUCGGAUUGACUGGGCGUAAAGCGCGCGUAGGCGGCUCGCUAAGUCUGAUGUGAAAUCCCUGGACUCAAUCCAGGAAGUGCAUUGGAUACUGGCAAGCUAGAGUGCAGGAGAGGAAAGCGGAAUUCCAGGUGUAGAGGUGAAAUUCGUAGAUAUCUGGAGGAACAACAGAGGCGAAGGCGGCUUUCUGGACUGUUACUGACGCUGAGGCGCGAAAGCGUGGGGAGCAAACAGG
This 253-nucleotide ribosomal RNA is filed under the name uncultured prokaryote. Its description in RNAcentral is "partial 16S ribosomal RNA". It matches the Rfam family "Bacterial small subunit ribosomal RNA", at positions 524 to 776 of the family's 1533-position model. The record is from RNAcentral.